RNAcentral lists this unclassified non-coding RNA (337 nucleotides) under soil metagenome. Its description in RNAcentral is "partial contains 5.8S ribosomal RNA, internal transcribed spacer 2, and large subunit ribosomal RNA". The stretch from base 1 to 120 matches the Rfam family "5.8S ribosomal RNA", at positions 35 to 154 of the family's 154-position model. The record is from RNAcentral.
GAUGAAGAACGUAGCGAAAUGCGAUAAGUAAUGCGAAUUGCAGAUUUCAGUGAGUCAUCGAAUCUUUGAACGCACAUUGCGCCCGCCAGUAUUCUGGCGGGCAUGCCUGUUCGAGCGUCAUUUCAACCAUCAAGCCCCCGGGCUUGCGUUGGGGCCCUGCGGCUGCCGCAGGCCCCGAAAAGCAGUGGCGGGCUCGCUGUCACACCGAGCGCAGUAGCGAUUCUCGCUCCGGGCGUCGGCGGCGGGCACCGGCCGUGAAACCACCCCACAUCCACAAGGUUGACCUCGGAUCAGGUAGGAAUACCCGCUGAACUUAAGCAUAUCAAUAAGCGGAGGA